AUGCAGAUGGCGACGAGCAGAAGCAGAGGCCCCGUUCCCAUGUUUGCUGAGCAGAGGCGUUGGAGCCCUGGAGUGAGGUCUCAGCUGUUCUCUCCACCUCACUGCACAGAGAAAACACCCCAGAGUAUCCUGUUCAGAGCCACUUCCUUACCCUACAUCCCAGUGGAUGCAGCUUCUGAAAGGAAGCAGAGUCGGCAAGGACAGAGUGCUUUUGGGAAUCAUUCCCAGCAUAUGGAGACUGCAGUCUACAGCAAGAAAGGGCAGCUCCCUCAGCAAGUGGAAAAUGGGCUUCACCUCCCUGUGGUCUCCCUGUGGUUUGCUUCCCUUGCGAUAUUAUUUUUGAAUAGCAGGCAGGAGCUUGGUGUCUCUUGCUCUGUUUAGUACAUCCAAUAACCAAACCUGGCCCGCUUCUGGGUGGUCCUCGUGAAAUACCAGAAAACCACGCAAAGGCCAUGUGAUUUAAUAGACAUAAGAAACAGAGGAAUUGCUUUGACAGAUACCUCAAAAUCAGUUUUUCAAGAAAUGAGAUGUUUCAACCAAUAUGUCCAUUCCAUUUGUGUUUUUUCCCCUAUUUCUUUUUCUCUUUCUUUGCCCUUUGUUCUUCAUUCUGAUAAACCAGCCUGGAAAAUGUAGAUCACUGAUGUGUUGAUGCUUGACUUGGUCUUAGGCUGAGAAAUAAUACACACAGUGCCUUCCAGGUUAAAGAAUUCAGAUCCCAGUCACUAGGCAGACUGGAUCACUUCAGGAUCAAGAAAGAGGAAGGAUACAAAGAGCCAGCCAUGAAAGCACAGACAUAAGCAUGAUUUCCUUUUAGUUUCCUGUGUACUUUGUGGCUAGAGCUACUAUUGAUUCCAGAACCUGCAUGUUGCUGGGCAGCUCACCUGCCCUCUCUGCCAGCAGACUGCCCUGGCACCAACAGCUGCAAUCCCAACUCAGAGCACAGCCCUGCUCUUCUGCCCCAGUUCCCACAUCUUCCCAUCCUCCAGAUCUGCUCUUCAGAUGUAUCACCCAUAGAAGCUGAGAUGGUGGGUUGAGCAACACUAAAGAGAGAGAAAUAACCCAAGUUCUUCUGGACCAAGCAGGAUAUGGAACCAGGAGCAGAGGCUGCUUGCAAAUCAACUUGCUCUGCUCCUCAGUCCCUGGCAGAAGCAGGGCACCAGCCAGCUCGUUCCCUAACAAUGCUGAAGUCAGAAGGAAAAUAAGAAUUUUAUCUCAAUCCCCAACACAGUCCUUGCCAGCCGUUAAUGAUGUGAACUUAACUGACAUUUUCCAUUCAAAACUUUUUACAAUUGUAUUGCAGAUAUACACAGUAAUUUCUGGAGAGGAUAGGAACCCAAGUCUCUUCAGAAGGAAAUAACAGGCUGGCCAGAAACUGUAGUAA
This 1381-nucleotide long non-coding RNA is filed under the name Coturnix japonica (Japanese quail). Its description in RNAcentral is "lncRNA (ENSCJPG00005007218.1)". The record is from RNAcentral. Lineage: Eukaryota; Metazoa; Chordata; Aves; Galliformes; Phasianidae.